AGAGUUUGAUCCUGGCUCAGAGAGAACGGGGGGCACACCUAACACACACAAAUCUGGCGGUAGCACAGAGGAACUUUCUCCUUGGGUGACGAGUGGCGGACGGGUGAGUAAUGUCUGGGGAUCUGCCCGAUAGAGGGGGAUAACCACUGGAAACGGUGGCUAAUACCGCAUAACGUCGCAAGACCAAAGAGGGGGACCUUCGGGCCUCUCACUAUCGGAUGAACCCAGAUGGGAUUAGCUAGUAGGCGGGGUAAUGGCCCACCUAGGCGACGAUCCCUAGCUGGUCUGAGAGGAUGACCAGCCACACUGGAACUGAGACACGGUCCAGACUCCUACGGGAGGCAGCAGUGGGGAAUAUUGCACAAUGGGCGCAAGCCUGAUGCAGCCAUGCCGCGUGUAUGAAGAAGGCCUUCGGGUUGUAAAGUACUUUCAGCGGGGAGGAAGGCGAUGCGGUUAAUAACCGCGUCGAUUGACGUACCCGCAGAAGAAGCACCG
RNAcentral lists this ribosomal RNA (495 nucleotides) under Pantoea agglomerans. Its description in RNAcentral is "bacterial SSU rRNA". It matches the Rfam family "Bacterial small subunit ribosomal RNA", at positions 8 to 495 of the family's 1533-position model. The record is from RNAcentral. Lineage: Bacteria; Pseudomonadati; Pseudomonadota; Gammaproteobacteria; Enterobacterales; Erwiniaceae.